Molecule: ribosomal RNA, 253 nt
Filed under: uncultured bacterium
Lineage: Bacteria
Description: partial 16S ribosomal RNA
Rfam family: Bacterial small subunit ribosomal RNA
Source: RNAcentral
UACGUAGGGUGCGAGCGUUAAUCGGAAUUACUGGGCGUAAAGCGUGCGCAGGCGGUCUUGCAAGACAGAUGUGAAAUCCCCGGGCUCAACCUGGGAACUGCAUUUGUGACUGCAAGGCUGGAGUGCGGCAGAGGGGGAUGGAAUUCCGCGUGUAGCAGUGAAAUGCGUAGAUAUGCGGAGGAACACCGAUGGCGAAGGCAAUCUCCUGGGCCUGCACUGACGCUCAUGCACGAAAGCGUGGGGAGCAAACAGG